ACGGCGGGACGGGGUGGAGUAACGCGUGGGUAACCGUACCUCAUACAGGGGGAUAACAGUUGGAAACGACUGCUAAUACCGCAUAAGCGCACAGUACCGCAUGGUACCGUGUGAAAAACUCCGGUGGUAUGAGAUGGACCCGCGUCUGAUUAGCUAGUUGGUGGGGUAACGGCCCACCAAGACGACGAUCAGUAGCCGACCUGAGAGGGUGACCGGCCACAUUGGGACUGAGACACGGCCCAG
This 243-nucleotide ribosomal RNA is filed under the name uncultured bacterium. RNAcentral describes it as "partial 16S ribosomal RNA". It matches the Rfam family "Bacterial small subunit ribosomal RNA", at positions 104 to 334 of the family's 1533-position model. The record is from RNAcentral.